AAUCUUCCACAAUGGUCGAAAGCCUGAUGGAGCAACGCCGCGUGAUGGAAGAAGGUUUUCGGAUCGUAAAACUCUUUUGUCAGGGAAGAACAAGUACAGUAGUAACUGCCUGUACCUUGACGGUACCUUAUUAGAAAGCCACGGCUAACUACGUUCCAGCAGCCGCGGUAAUACGUAUGUGGCAAGCGUUGUCCGAAAUUAUUGGGCGUAAAGCGAGAGAAGGGAGUCAGUUAAGUCUGAUGUGAAAGACCGCGGCUCAACCGUGGAGGGUCAUUGGAGACUGGGGGACUUGAGUGCAGAAGAGGAAAGUGGAAUUCCAAGUGUAGCGGUGAAAUGCGUAGAGAUUUGGAGGAACACCAGUGGCGAAGGCGACUUUCUGGUCUGUAACUGACGCUGAGGCGCGAAAGCGUGGGGAGCAAACA
RNAcentral lists this ribosomal RNA (422 nucleotides) under uncultured bacterium. RNAcentral's name for it is "partial 16S ribosomal RNA". It matches the Rfam family "Bacterial small subunit ribosomal RNA", at positions 360 to 774 of the family's 1533-position model. The record is from RNAcentral.